CGAAUUUCUGACCAAGGGGUGGGUACAAGAUGGUGUGGAAAGCAAGCGAAUUAAAGGCAAGUAAUUCAACCUCGAUUUUAUGAUUUCAAGUAAGUAUCAUUACUUGGAACUCGAUUAUAAGUAUGCAAGCACGUUUUACAAAUCACAUGACUAUGUAGUCUUUCAAAAAACGAUAUGUUUCUUCUUCCAAGAGUUCAACAUGAAUUCUUUUCUCCAAGCCACAACACUUUUCAGAAUCGACAAGGCAUCUUUGAACUUGAAAUCCCCGACUCUUGAGGAAUUUGAGAACAAUUACAUCGCUUAUUUCAUCGACCAGAAAUGGGAUUCCCGGAUGGAAACUUCCGGUCGUGGCGGUAUUGGUGUUUCUUUGACUGCUUCCACCUCAUUUGGCUACUCCUCCUCUUCCCUCGUAGAGUGCGUUCUUCAACGACGAUUCUUUCUUUAUGGAUGACGGGGAUGAAAACUUGGGGGAUAGAGUGAAUUCCAAAUUUGCUGAAGGCGAUUUUGUAAGCGAUUGAAUGACCACAGAAUUAGGGAUUGGUAGCAAUAAUUGUGGGAUUAUGAUAUGGACGGUUUGGUUGAGGAAUUAACGCCUUCUAAUUUGAUGUUAAUUAUUUGGAAUAAGGUUAUUUUUCAGAUUUCAUUUUUACUUUAAUAUUGCAG
This 663-nucleotide long non-coding RNA is filed under the name Olea europaea subsp. europaea. Lineage: Eukaryota; Viridiplantae; Streptophyta; Magnoliopsida; Lamiales; Oleaceae. The record is from RNAcentral.